GUUUCUGUAGUGUAGUGGUUAUCACGUUCGCCUCACACGCGAAAGGUCCCUGGUUCGAAACCGGGCAGAAACA
RNAcentral lists this transfer RNA (73 nucleotides) under Callipepla squamata (scaled quail). It matches the Rfam family "tRNA". Rfam says of the family: Transfer RNA (tRNA) molecules are approximately 80 nucleotides in length. RNAcentral also lists the same sequence under 5 other names. Lineage: Eukaryota; Metazoa; Chordata; Aves; Galliformes; Odontophoridae. The record is from Rfam by way of RNAcentral.